Molecule: microRNA precursor, 63 nt
Filed under: Acyrthosiphon pisum (pea aphid)
Lineage: Eukaryota; Metazoa; Arthropoda; Insecta; Hemiptera; Aphididae
Description: microRNA api-mir-3037 precursor
Source: miRBase by way of RNAcentral
AAAUUCUGAAUGUUAUUGUAGACAUUCUAUGAUUUUAAAUGUUACAAAACAUUCAGAAUUUUG